This 497-nucleotide ribosomal RNA is filed under the name uncultured bacterium. RNAcentral's name for it is "partial 16S ribosomal RNA". It matches the Rfam family "Bacterial small subunit ribosomal RNA", at positions 28 to 507 of the family's 1533-position model. The record is from RNAcentral.
GAUGAACGCUGGCGGCGUGCCUAAUACAUGCAAGUCGAGCGAACGGACGAGGAGCUUGCUUCUCUGAUGUUAGCGGCGGACGGGUGAGUAACACGUGGAUAACCUACCUAUAAGACUGGGAUAACUUCGGGAAACCGGAGCUAAUACCGGAUAAUAUUUUGAACCGCAUGGUUCAAUAGUGAAAGACGGUCUUGCUGUCACUUAUAGAUGGAUCCGCGCUGCAUUAGCUAGUUGGUAAGGUAACGGCUUACCAAGGCAACGAUGCGUAGCCGACCUGAGAGGGUGAUCGGCCACACUGGAACUGAGACACGGUCCAGACUCCUACGGGAGGCAGCAGUAGGGAAUCUUCCGCAAUGGGCGAAAGCCUGACGGAGCAACGCCGCGUGAGUGAUGAAGGUCUUCGGAUCGUAAAACUCUGUUAUUAGGGAAGAACAAAUGUGUAAGUAACUGUGCACGUCUUGACGGUACCUAAUCAGAAAGCCACGGCUAACUACGUG